CACCCGUGCGGUCAUGUGCGGCGACGAGCUGUCGCCACGGUGGUUGUCGCCGCAGCGCAUGCGCGUACACAGGGGCGGCAAGCGAGCCUUUUGUUCUCGUUUGCCAAAUGCGCAAACACAGUGCAAUCUCUUCAUUGCACCCGAACUGUAGGCCAGCCAGCCAAGCUAGCUCGCGAUGCGCUCUUGUCUAGCGACUCGAGCGCGUGAUACUUGUUCUAUUCCCGAGCCGGCCGCGUCAAAGCGCGCCGUAUGCCGCCAGUCACGCUGGCUGCGUGGUGACGCUAGACUGUACAGAGCGUCCGCUUCGCGCCGCGUAGCGUGACUGCAUCGCGCGUGGCGCCAGACUGUAUCCGCGCCUUAAGUGCUGGGCGAGUUGUCACGUGGUGCAUGGUUGAUCUAAGGUGAAAGCCAGCGAAAAGAAGUUCCCAACGCGUAGGCCGAGCGUGUGUGCGGCGGCUGUCCCCGUGCGAUAAUGGCACCGCGGAACGAGCCACUCCUGCUGCUUUGAAGCUACGGACGCGUAAGCAACGUCGGCGAGUGCUUGAAACGAAGCAGGUUGGCUGGUGGUUCCGACUCGUACGCUGCUAAUCAUGUUUAUUGCGCAAGGGAAUAACUCGGCAGUGCCUUCCGCCCUUCAGAAAAUCUUCGGAAAGUGCAGGGCACAAUUGAAGAGCGUGGAGUGCGACGUGCGCCUGAAGAGUCACGACCCAGCGAGUUGUCGGAAAGGCUGAGUUUCCGGAGGGCUGCGUGGAACUACGCCGAGGUUGUAGGCGCACCACAUAUCGGUUCGGGAACUGUCGAGCAUUCUCUGGGACCCAGGAGCGUAUUCCCGCACCGGGAACAAAAGGUACAAACAAGGUGCCUCGUUUCGUUCACCGAGGACAACAGGAAAACCUACUGCGAGCCUCGUUUCACGCAAGAAAAUAAAGAAAAGAAGAGGGCUCGGUGAUUAUUUGCGACAUUCUUCAUUAAUCCAGAAACGUUAAACUUCUAGCGCACUCGUCAAAACACACUUAAAUAUGCACACCGUUUUCGCCGAAAUUGAACAGUUAUUUUAGAACUAUGAGGAACAUUGCCAAUAACGGCAGCAUGACACUCUGGAACGCUUGAGUAAGCGGUUUCCUA
Molecule: RNA transcript, 1125 nt
Organism: Dermacentor albipictus
Lineage: Eukaryota; Metazoa; Arthropoda; Arachnida; Ixodida; Ixodidae
Source: RefSeq, a predicted model, not a curated record